Molecule: long non-coding RNA, 394 nt
Filed under: Fukomys damarensis (Damara mole-rat)
Lineage: Eukaryota; Metazoa; Chordata; Mammalia; Rodentia; Bathyergidae
Description: lncRNA (ENSFDAG00000026441.1)
Source: RNAcentral
AAAGAAGCAAAGAAACGCUAGGCAGAAGUCCCUGUAAGCCCCGUAUGGCAAGUUCCAAGUGAGGGGGUACUUACCCCUCUACAAAAGCACCAGGAACAAAGUCUCCAGGAGUCCUCCAUCUCUUUGGACCCUUCCCUAUUCGUUGAGUUUACCACCCCGGAGGGCAGCUUGAACAACAGCACAGAAGUGCUCAUCUCCCAGAUGCAACGUCUUUGGCUCCCUGACCAGAAGCCAGACAAGACAGACAUUGAUCAUGUAUUUGAACUUUCUCAUAGUAUGAAUUUCAGGAACACGAAUGUGCAAAAGAAUGUAAGAUAAAGAUAUGCAGAAUUUUUUUCAAAGCAUUCCUAUGAAACUGAAGUAAAUAAUCCAAAUAAAGUAAAUCUUCUCAAGG